Molecule: transfer RNA, 77 nt
Filed under: Bdellovibrionales bacterium RIFOXYB2_FULL_36_6
Lineage: Bacteria; Pseudomonadati; Bdellovibrionota; Bdellovibrionia; Bdellovibrionales
Also listed under: 24 other names
Description: tRNA-Met
Rfam family: tRNA
About the family: Transfer RNA (tRNA) molecules are approximately 80 nucleotides in length. Their secondary structure includes four short double-helical elements and three loops (D, anti-codon, and T loops). Further hydrogen bonds mediate the characteristic L-shaped molecular structure. tRNAs have two regions of fundamental functional importance: the anti-codon, which is responsible for specific mRNA codon recognition, and the 3' end, to which the tRNAs corresponding amino acid is attached (by aminoacyl-tRNA synthetases). tRNAs cope with the degeneracy of the genetic code in two manners: having more than one tRNA (with a specific anti-codon) for a particular amino acid; and 'wobble' base-pairing, i.e. permitting non-standard base-pairing at the 3rd anti-codon position.
Source: RNAcentral
CGCGGGGUGGAGCAGUCUGGUAGCUCGUCGGGCUCAUAACCCGAAGGUCGCAGGUUCAAAUCCUGCCCCCGCUACCA